UCCAGACUCCUACGGGAGGCAGCAGCGGGGGAUAUUGCACAGUGGGGGAAACCCUGAUGCGGCGACGCCGCGUGUGGGAAGACGGUCCUCUGGAUUGUAAACCACUGUCCCCAGGGACGAAGAUGACGGUACCUGGGGAGGAAGCUCCGGCUAACUACGUGCCAGCAGCCGCGGUAAUACGUAGGGAGCGAGCGUUGUCCGGAAUUACUGGGUGUAAAGGGAGUGUAGGCGGGACUGCAAGUUGGGUGUCAAAUCUACCGGCUCAACCGGUAGCCGCACUCAAAACUGCAGUUCUUGAGUGAAGUAGAGGCAGGCGGAAUUCCUAGUGUAGCGGUGAAAUGCGUAGAUAUUAGGAGGAACACCAGUGGCGAAGGCGGCCUGCUGGGCUUAUACUGACGCUGAGGCGCGAAAGCGUGGGGAGCAAACAGGAUUAGAUACCCCCGUAAC
RNAcentral lists this ribosomal RNA (447 nucleotides) under uncultured bacterium. Its description in RNAcentral is "bacterial SSU rRNA". It matches the Rfam family "Bacterial small subunit ribosomal RNA", at positions 330 to 794 of the family's 1533-position model. The record is from RNAcentral.